GGGUGGAGUUGGUGCGGUAGCUCCAAAAAAUAAUGCACAAAAUGCUGAAGUUCUUAGGCGAUAGAAGUGAAAAAAAAAAGCUAAGAUAGAAUUUAUCCUGAAGCGAUUUAUUUCUCAUAGAUUGUUUGAUCAUAUUAUAUGGUGUAGUUAGCAAAUGAAAUAUGGGAGACCCUUGACAGAUUGUUCAACAAAAAGGAUAUGGCUCGACUGCAAAUGC
RNAcentral lists this long non-coding RNA (217 nucleotides) under Elaeis guineensis (African oil palm). RNAcentral describes it as "long non-coding RNA (EGUI_LNC010341)". The record is from RNAcentral. Lineage: Eukaryota; Viridiplantae; Streptophyta; Magnoliopsida; Arecales; Arecaceae.